UUGCUUCAGGAGCACAUAUAUUAAAAUUCGGACGAUACAGAGAAGAUUAGCAUGGUCUCUGCACAAGGCUGACAUGCAAAUUCAUGAAGCAUUCCAUAUUUUU
Molecule: small nuclear RNA, 103 nt
Filed under: Salvator merianae (Argentine black and white tegu)
Lineage: Eukaryota; Metazoa; Chordata; Lepidosauria; Squamata; Teiidae
Source: RNAcentral